UACGGGGGGGGCAAGCGUUGUUCGGAAUUACUGGGCGUAAAGGGCGCGUAGGCGGCCUGCUAAGUCGGACGUGAAAUCCCUCGGCUCAACCGGGGAACUGCGUCCGAUACUGGCGAGGCUUGAAUCCGGGAGAGGGAUGUGGAAUUCCAGGUGUAGCGGUGAAAUGCGUAGAUAUCUGGAGGAACACCGGUGGCGAAGGCGGCAUCCUGGACCGACAUUGACGCUGAGGCGCGAAAGCCAGGGGAGCAAACGGG
This 254-nucleotide ribosomal RNA is filed under the name uncultured bacterium. Its description in RNAcentral is "partial 16S ribosomal RNA". It matches the Rfam family "Bacterial small subunit ribosomal RNA", at positions 524 to 776 of the family's 1533-position model. The record is from RNAcentral.